UGGGUGAUUUUUUAUUAUGAUAUAUAUAAAAUAUUCAAGAUGUAGGUAAUUAACAAUAUUCAAUUGGGGCUCUUUUAAAAGAUAUCAGAUAAGUCCCAAAAACAACCCCGACACAUUUAAAAUUUGAACUUGCUAUGGAUAUGCAGGCAACAACGGAUGUCUUCUCUCCUGAACAAAUUUACAUUGGAUGCAGAUGAAAUAGUUCCAAAUAGUUCUUGACAUCGAAUAGUGCAGAUUUAUUCUCUGGAGACUUGCAUUGACUGUUGGAUUUAGG
Molecule: long non-coding RNA, 274 nt
Filed under: Mytilus galloprovincialis (Mediterranean mussel)
Lineage: Eukaryota; Metazoa; Mollusca; Bivalvia; Mytilida; Mytilidae
Source: RNAcentral